Long non-coding RNA from Hibiscus syriacus, 98 nucleotides. RefSeq lists it as uncharacterized. NCBI's taxonomy places the organism in Eukaryota, Viridiplantae, Streptophyta, Magnoliopsida, Malvales, Malvaceae. The record is from RefSeq and is a predicted model, not a curated record. The transcript has 4 exons.
GUUAUAAAAGGUGAAACCUGUUGAAAAUUUAGCUAUUCAUUAGUGGUUGAAAGAUGCUUUCCAAAUACUCUGCUUUUAUUGUAUAGAACCAAUCAUUC